RNAcentral lists this ribosomal RNA (216 nucleotides) under Glomeromycotina sp. RNAcentral describes it as "partial small subunit ribosomal RNA". The stretch from base 40 to 216 matches the Rfam family "Eukaryotic small subunit ribosomal RNA", at positions 686 to 864 of the family's 1831-position model. Lineage: Eukaryota; Fungi; Glomeromycota. The record is from RNAcentral.
GGGUCAGUAGGUUGGUCGUGCCACCGGUACGUACUGGUCUCACUGAUUCCUCCUUCCUGAAGAACCGUAAUGCCAUUAAUUUGGUGUUGCGGGGAAACAGGACUGUUACUUUGGAAAAAUUAGAGUGUUUAAAGCAAGCUAACGCUUGAAUACAUUAGCAUGGAAUAAUGAAAUAGGACGAUCGAUCCUAUUUUGUUGGUUUCUAGGAUUGACGUA